UACGUAGGGUGCAAGCGUUGUCCGGGAUUAUUGGGCGUUAAGAGCUCGUAGGCGGUCUGUCGUGUCUGCUGUGAAAACUCGGGGCUUAACUCCGGGCCUGCAGUGGGUACGGGCAGACUAGAGUGCGGUAGGGGAGACUGGAAUUCCUGGUGUAGCGGUGAAAUGCGCAGAUAUCAGGAGGAACACCGGUGGCGAAGGCGGGUCUCUGGGCCGUAACUGACGCUGAGGAGCGAAAGCGUGGGGAGCGAACAGG
RNAcentral lists this ribosomal RNA (253 nucleotides) under uncultured bacterium. Its description in RNAcentral is "partial 16S ribosomal RNA". It matches the Rfam family "Bacterial small subunit ribosomal RNA", at positions 524 to 776 of the family's 1533-position model. The record is from RNAcentral.